This 586-nucleotide long non-coding RNA is filed under the name Homo sapiens (human). RNAcentral's name for it is "novel transcript". Lineage: Eukaryota; Metazoa; Chordata; Mammalia; Primates; Hominidae. The record is from RNAcentral.
AGUAACACUCUGGGAGGGCUCAAACCACAUAACCAAAUGUGCCAAGAUAAUCCUGAGCUCACUCAUUGUCAGAGAAGGAAUCAUAGGCACAGAGUUAUAAGUAUGUUGAAGAAUGUUACAAAACCGGUAAGAGACCUAGGAUCCAAGCACAAGACGUCUGUCUUCGUGCAAGUUCAUAUAAACAUUACAAUCUCAUUUAAGAAUAUUUUUUUAGGAGGGAGGUGAGACAAGACGGCAGAACAGAAAACUCCACAGAUCAUCCUCCUACCCCUACCACAAGGAUACUAAGUUAACAAACAACUACACAGAAAAAAGCAUCUUCCUAAGAGCUAAAAAUCAGGUGAGCACUCACAGUACCUGGUUUUAACCUCGUAUCACUGAAAGAGACACUGAAAAGACAGAAAAACAGUUCCGAGUCUCCGGUGCCACCCCUCCCUGACCCCAGCAGCAUGGCUUGGUGCCAAGAGCAUCUCUGGGUGCUGGUGAAGGGAGAACAGAGCAAUUGUGAGGCACUGAACUCAGUGCCAUUUUGUUGCAGCAAAAAGGAAAACCUGACCAAACUAAGCUGAAGUCCACCCAAAAGAAG